CUAGCUGUAAACGAUGGAUACUAGGCGUUGAGAGUAUCGACCCUCUCAGUGUCGUAGCUAACGCGUUAAGUAUCCCGCCUGGGGAGUACGCGCGCAAGCGUGAAACUCAAAGGAAUUGACGGGGGCCCGCACAAGCGGUGGAGUAUGUGGUUUAAUUCGAUGCAGCGCGAAGAACCUUACCAGGGCUUGACAUGUCCGGAACCCUGCCCAAAGGCGGGGGUGCCUACGGGAACCGGAACACAGGUGGUGC
This 250-nucleotide ribosomal RNA is filed under the name uncultured Chroococcidiopsis sp. RNAcentral's name for it is "partial 16S ribosomal RNA". It matches the Rfam family "Bacterial small subunit ribosomal RNA", at positions 796 to 1044 of the family's 1533-position model. The record is from RNAcentral. Lineage: Bacteria; Bacillati; Cyanobacteriota; Cyanophyceae; Chroococcidiopsidales; Chroococcidiopsidaceae.